Molecule: long non-coding RNA, 1499 nt
Organism: Oncorhynchus keta (chum salmon)
Lineage: Eukaryota; Metazoa; Chordata; Actinopteri; Salmoniformes; Salmonidae
Exons: 4
Source: RefSeq, a predicted model, not a curated record
UGUAAGAAGUGGUUAUAUUUUAAACAGCAUAUAAAUAUAAACCACUGUAAAUAGGUCAGGAGCCAGACAGGGAGUCUAAGAAGGAGUUCAUUAUUUAGUCUAUAUUAUUAUUCAUCUAUUAUUCCAAGGCUAUAGCUUAUACAUAUAUAAACCACUGUAAAUAGGUCAGGAGCCAGACAGGGAGUCUAAGAAGGAGUUCAUUAUUUAGUCUAUAUUAUUAUUCAUCUAUUAUUCCAAGGCUAUAGCUUAUACAUAUAUAAACCACUGUAAAUAGGUCAGGAGCCAGACAGGGAGUCUAAGAAGGAGUUCAUUAUUUAGCCUAUAUUAUUAUUCAUCUAUUAUUCCAAGGCUAUAGCUUAUACAUAUAUAAACCACUGUAAAUAGGUCAGGAGCCAGACAGGGAGUCUAAGAAGGAGUUCAUUAUUUAGCCUAUAUUAUUAUUCAUCUAUUAUUCCAAGGCUAUAGCUUAUACAUAUAUAAACCACUGUAAAUAGGUCAGGAGCCAGACAGGGAGUCUAAGAAGGAGUUCAUUAUUUAGCCUAUAUUAUUAUUCAUCUAUUAUUCCAAGGCUAUAGCUUAUACAUAUAUAAACCACUGUAAAUAGGUCAGGAGCCAGACAGGGAGUCUAAGAAGGAGUUCAUUAUUUAGCCUAUAUUAUUAUUCAUCUAUUAUUCCAAGGCUAUAGCUUAUACAUAUAUAAACCACUGUAAAUAGGUCAGGAGCCAGACAGGGAGUCUAAGAAGGAGUUCAUUAUUUAGCCUAUAUUAUUAUUCAUCUAUUAUUCCAAGGCUAUAGCUUAUACAUAUAUAAACCACUGUAAAUAGGUCAGGAGCCAGACAGGGAGUCUAAGAAGGAGUUCAUUAUUUAGUCUAUAUUAUUAUUCAUCUAUUAUUCCAAGGCUAUAGCUUAUACAUAUAUAAACCACUGUAAAUAGGUCAGGAGCCAGACAGGGAGUCUAAGAAGGAGUUCAUUAUUUAGUCUAUAUUAUUAUUCAUCUAUUAUUCCAAGGCUAUAGCUUAUACAUAUAUAAACCACUGUAAAUAGGUCAGGAGCCAGACAGGGAGUCUAAGAAGGAGUUCAUUAUUUAGUCUAUAUUAUUAUUCAUCUAUUAUUCCAAGGCUAUAGCUUAUACAUAUAUAAACCACUGUAAAUAGGUCAGGAGCCAGACAGGGAGUCUAAGAAGGAGUUCAUUAUUUAGCCUAUAUUAUUAUUCAUCUAUUAUUCCAAGGCUAUAGCUUAUACAUAUAUAAACCACUGUAAAUAGGUCAGGAGCCAGACAGGGAGUCUAAGAAGGAGUUCAUUAUUUAGCCUAUAUUAUUAUUCAUCUAUUAUUCCAAGGCUAUAGCUUAUACAUAUAUAAACCACUGUAAAUAGGUCAGGAGCCAGACAGGGAGUCUAAGAAGGAGUUCAUUAUUUAGUCUAUAUUAUUAUUCAUCUAUUAUUCCAAGGCUUAUAAAGAAAUGCGGUGUGACGCCUUUGCGAGAGCGACACACUAGGCU